ACGAGAUAGUGAUAUUAAGCGAAACUCAAAAAGACGGUCUCAGUUCGGACUGAAGGCUGAAAUUCGCCUUCACGAAGUCGGAAUUGCUAGUAAUGGCAGGUCAGCAUACUGCCGUGAAUACGUUCCCGGGCCUUGUACACACCGCCCGUCACACCAUGAGAGUUGGGGAUACCCGAAGCCUGUGAGCUAACAGUAAUGAAGCAGCAGUCGAAGGUAGAAUCAAUGAUUGGGGUGAAGUCGUAACAAGGUAUC
RNAcentral lists this ribosomal RNA (252 nucleotides) under uncultured bacterium. RNAcentral describes it as "partial 16S ribosomal RNA". It matches the Rfam family "Bacterial small subunit ribosomal RNA", at positions 1249 to 1500 of the family's 1533-position model. The record is from RNAcentral.